CCCCCGGUUUAAGCGUGUAGGCGUGCCCCUUAGGCAAAUCCGGGGGGCUGAGCUGAGGCGUGACGACGAGGAACCACGGUUCCGAAGUGAUUGAUACCAAGCUACCAGGAAAAGCCACUAAGCUUCAGUCUAGAGUUGACCGUACCGCAAACCGACACAGGUGGGCAGGAUGAAAAUUCUAAGGCGCUUGAGAGAACUCAGGAGAAGGAACUCGGCAAAUUAACACCGUAACUUCGGGAGAAGGUGUGCCCCGGUAGCGUGUAGAGACUUGCUCUCGAAGCGCGAUGGGGUUGCAGUGAAAUGGUGGCUGCGACUGUUUAAUAAAGACACAGCACUCUGCAGACACGAAAGUGGACGUAUAGGGUGUGACGCCUGCCCGGUGCCGGAAGGUUAAGUGAUGGGGUGCAAGCUCUUGAUCGAAGCCCCGGUAAACGGCGGCCGUAACAAUAACGGUCCUAAGGUAGCGAAAUUCCUUGUCGGGUAAGUUCCGACCUGCACGAAUGGCGUAACGAUGGCCACACUGUCUCCUCCUGGGACUCAGCGAAGUUGAAAUGUUUGUGAAGAUGCAAUCUACCCGCGGCUAGACGGAAAGACCCCAUGAACCUUUACUGUAGCUUUGCAUUGGACUUUGAACCGGUUUGUGUAGGAUAGGUGGGAGACUGUGAAGCCGGGACGCUAGUUUCGGUGGAGUCAACCUUGAAAUACCACCCUGAUUUGUUUGAGGUUCUAACCUUGGUCCGUGAAUCCGGAUCGGGGACCGUGCAUGGUAGGCAGUUUGACUGGGGCGGUCUCCUCCCAAAAGGUAACGGAGGAGUACGAAGGUACGCUUAGGGCGGUCGGACAUCGCCCACAAAGUGCAAUGGCAAAAGCGUGCUUGACUGCGAGACCCACAAGUCGAGCAGGUACGAAAGUAGGUCAUAGUGAUCCGGUGGUUCUGUAUGGAAGGGCCAUCGCUCAACGGAUAAAAGGUACUCUGGGGAUAACAGGCUAAUUCCUCCCAAGAGUUCAUAUCGACGGGGGGAGUUUGGCACCUCGAUGUCGGCUCAUCACAUCCUGGGGCUGUAGUCGGUCCCAAGGGUAUGGCUGUUCGCCAUUUAAAGUGGUACGCGAGCUGGGUUUAAAACGUCGUGAGACAGUUUGGUCCCUAUCUGCCGUGGGCGCUGGAAAUUUGAAGGGGGCUGCUCCUAGUACGAGAGGACCGGAGUGGACGAACCUCUGGUGUACCGGUUAUGACGCCAGUCGUAUCGCCGGGUAGCUAAGUUCGGAAGAGAUAAACGCUGAAAGCAUCUAAGCGUGAAACUCGCCUUAAGAUAAGAUUUCCCGGAGU
Molecule: ribosomal RNA, 1327 nt
Filed under: metagenome
Description: bacterial LSU rRNA
Rfam family: Bacterial large subunit ribosomal RNA
Source: RNAcentral